CUGAAGUGGUUCAGUGCAUUGAGUACCAGCCUAUGAAUCGAGAGGUCACUGGUUUGAUUCCCAGUCAGGGCACAUGCCUCGGUUUUAGGCCAGGUUCCCAGUUGGGGGCAUGCCAGGAGACA
Molecule: long non-coding RNA, 122 nt
Organism: Phyllostomus discolor (pale spear-nosed bat)
Lineage: Eukaryota; Metazoa; Chordata; Mammalia; Chiroptera; Phyllostomidae
Exons: 3
Source: RefSeq, a predicted model, not a curated record